RNAcentral lists this ribosomal RNA (261 nucleotides) under uncultured bacterium. RNAcentral's name for it is "partial 16S ribosomal RNA". It matches the Rfam family "Bacterial small subunit ribosomal RNA", at positions 96 to 353 of the family's 1533-position model. The record is from RNAcentral.
UGGCGAACGGGUGAGUAACGCGUGAGGAACCUGCCUCAAAGAGGGGGACAACAGUUGGAAACGACUGCUAAUACCGCAUAAGCCCACGGGUCGGCAUCGACCAGAGGGAAAAGGAGCAAUCCGCUUUGAGAUGGUCUCGCGUCCGAUUAGCUAGUUGGUGAGGUAAUGGCCCACCAAGGCGACGAUCGGUAGCCGGACUGAGAGGUUGAACGGCCACAUUGGGACUGAGACACGGCCCAGACUCCUACGGGAGGCAGCAUG